UCUGGUCAGUGAUGAUGAUUUAUAUGUAAUUGCCUGAUACAUCCAUGAGGGCAAUUCUAGUCACUACCUCAUCUGAGACCUGU
RNAcentral lists this small nucleolar RNA (83 nucleotides) under Pelobates cultripes (western spadefoot toad). It matches the Rfam family "Small nucleolar RNA SNORD11B". Lineage: Eukaryota; Metazoa; Chordata; Amphibia; Anura; Pelobatidae. The record is from RNAcentral.